This 468-nucleotide ribosomal RNA is filed under the name uncultured bacterium. Its description in RNAcentral is "partial 16S ribosomal RNA". It matches the Rfam family "Bacterial small subunit ribosomal RNA", at positions 28 to 507 of the family's 1533-position model. The record is from RNAcentral.
GACGAACGCUGGCGGCGUGCUUAACACAUGCAAGUCGAACGGAAAGGCCCUGCUUUUGUGGGGUGCUCGAGUGGCGAACGGGUGAGUAACACGUGAGUAACCUGCCCUUGACUUUGGGAUAACUUCAGGAAACUGGGGCUAAUACCGGAUAGGAGCUCCUGCUGCAUGGUGGGGGUUGGAAAGUUUCGGCGGUUGGGGAUGGACUCGCGGCUUAUCAGCUUGUUGGUGGGGUAGUGGCUUACCAAGGCUUUGACGGGUAGCCGGCCUGAGAGGGUGACCGGCCACAUUGGGACUGAGAUACGGCCCAGACUGCUACGGGAGGCAGCGGUGGGGAGUAUUGCACAAUGGGCGGAAGCCUGAUGCAGCAACGUCGCGUGCGGGAUGACGGCCUUCGGGUUGUAAACCGCUUUCGCCUGUGACGAAGCGUGAGUGACGGUAAUGGGUAAAGAAGCACCGGCUAACUACGUG